UUAUUUAUCGUCUAAAGUAAGUUCCAAGCACAAAUAAGUUAGUAUGGAUUUUAUAAAAUAGAGAUAUUGAGUUAACGAUUUUAAGCUUUGAAAUAAAGAGAAACCCAUUUUUAAUUACAAUUUAUUUCUCCUCACUCAUGUCAUCUACUCUAGAUGCUAGAGCAUCACUCUCUCUUUUUUUUAUGACUUCUCAAUCAAGUGCCAAAGUGUAUUUUUUUCCUAUAGAUCAAUUAUUCUCUUCAAGAUUUCAGUUUAAUAACUCAAGUGGUUGAGAAUUGGGAGAAACCCCAAAACCAAAAUAAAACCCCAAACAAUAAUUUUCUCUCUCCUCUGAUUUUAUACCCCGUACUGUGCAUGUACCAUUUCUGAAUUUUCGAGUCGGAAUUUUCCCAAACUUAUUGAAUCAAAGUUGUAGAUCUCGAAAAGUUAUUGAACUUAGACCCAAAGAUCACUUGAUUUGGAGUUCGGAGCUAUGAGUUAUGGUCUUUGCAAAUUUGGUGUUGUUACCUCCAUUUCUCUCUCCUCUGUUUUAUUCCGACAAUCUGUUGCCCCAAUUAUCUACAACAUGCAAUCCAAUUUUGCUCUUUGUUGCUGAAUCAAAGUUGUAGAUCACUUCGAGCUAAUGAAUUUGGGCACAAAAAUUACUUGAUUUGGAGUUCAGAGCUAUGAGUUAUGGUCUUUUUGUAGAUCACUUCGAGCUAAUGAAUUGAGCACAAAAAUCGCUCAAUUUGGAGUUCGGAGCUAUGAAUUACGCCUUACACAAGUUCAGCACUACUGUUGUACUUUGUGUUGCGCUGCUAUCGUGGUUGGCUUGUUUGCCCAUGUUGUCAUUGCUAACUUGUUGCCUUGUUGCUGCCAUUGUUGGUAUUCCUUUCCAUAUGAAGGUCGUUGUUGGAGUAUGUAUAUGGAGAUAAAUUAUGAAGUUCGAGCUAUAGUGGUUAUCCAGAAUGUCGAGUUAUUGGGAAUUGUUUCAAGGGUUCAUUGUUAGUGAUUUUGCAGGGUUGAUGUCGAGGUCGUGGAAUAUGAUUAUUGAUCAAGAAGAAGAGUUUUAUGUUAUGAAAUGGUGGGCUGAGGUUAAAGUUGGAUGUUUUGUUUCAAAGUAUUCGUAAUCUGUUAUUUGAUUUUCAAGUUGUUAUAUUGUGGGCCCCUGACCCACAGAUCCAGGAUCGUUUUUAUAGGUUUAGUUUCCGCUGUAAAUAAAUGCAAAUUCGAGGUUUGUUAAGUGUUGAUUUUGUUUUGUGUAUCUUAAUUGUGAUUAGUUAGCAGCUCGGAAGUGCGGGCUGUUACAUAUUUAAUAACGAAUAUAAUUUUAUUUUUUAUUCCA
This is a long non-coding RNA of Beta vulgaris subsp. vulgaris (sugar beet), 1324 nucleotides long. RefSeq lists it as uncharacterized. NCBI's taxonomy places the organism in Eukaryota, Viridiplantae, Streptophyta, Magnoliopsida, Caryophyllales, Amaranthaceae. The record is from RefSeq and is a predicted model, not a curated record. The transcript has 4 exons.